RNAcentral lists this long non-coding RNA (153 nucleotides) under Callithrix jacchus (white-tufted-ear marmoset). RNAcentral describes it as "lncRNA (ENSCJAG00000066177.2)". Lineage: Eukaryota; Metazoa; Chordata; Mammalia; Primates; Cebidae. The record is from RNAcentral.
UUAACAACGACACCAGUAUCCACAGGACCUUAACUUGGAAGAAUUUCAGGGGCUAAGGGGAAGACUCUGUGCACAUCCUAGAAGUGCCCAGCUGCCUUCUUAUUGUAACCCCAGUGACCAUAUCUGGGUUUACAUGCCUGUUUCUAGACCAGU